AUGGGGAUGGCAAAUGAAAAACAAACUCUGUGCCACAAGUGAGAGAGAGGAAGGAAGGAAACCCCUGCUCCUCCCCAGGCCCCAGAAGAGAUCGGUUCGCAGCAGGACUGGUGCUGCUUCACUCCAUUCUACAGAUCCCAGAACAAGGGGGCAGGAUGCAGCAAAAAACACCCUUUCUAUGGACACGAACCCUGAGGGUACCCACUACUUUUCCUUGCUCCCUGCACGGUGCGUGGGGCCUGUGCCCAUCUGGGGACCCUUUUUUAUGGGUGGGGCUCUAUCCCCCCAAUUUUCUUUCUGGGUUUUAUUUUUCCAUGUUUUCAGUUGUACGAUAAUAAUACCUCUCCCCUCCUCAGCUCCAUGAGCACUUCAGCUCUAAGGGAUCCCCAGGAUUUGUUUUCACCCUGAACAGAUAAAGGCUUUUUUUUUUUGGUUAUUUCCCUAAGGAACUGGUGCAGAUCAGGUCUGAUUUAUAAACAAGCAGCUCAGCUGUGUAAAUGUGGGGACAGAAUGUUCAGCUAAUGUUGCAAAAGGAAAGGAAAAAAAAAAAAAGUUGUACAGUAUUUUUCCUGUAAAGGUUAUUACUAUAUAUAGAACAAAAGAGAAACCACCAAUGCCGAGGGGUGGAGGGGGAGGUGUCACCUGCCUUCUGGAUAGCCCUUACAUAUGGUUAAUUGUGUGCAAUUUUUUUUCUCCUUUUUUUUUUUCUCUCUCCUUUUUCUCCCCCUUUUUUUUUUUCUCUCUUUCAAUGUAGUGUAUGUUUGUAGGGGUGGCAGGGGAGGGGGGGCCUUAAUGCUGUGGUUUGAGGCUGACUUCACACUCCCAGCACUGACCGGACCUGCACGAUUCCGAACUCUAACUUGAAUUUUGUAGAGAUGAAACAAAUGAAAACAAAUGAAAUAUUAUCACUAGUUUGUAGUUUAUUUAAUUCUUUGGAGUUCUUUUCCUCUAUCAGCUAUUUGUGUGGCUUUUAUUUUUAUAGGGGGUUUUUUUGUUGUUUGUUUGUUUUUGUUUUGUUUGGUAUAUCCCCUACCCUCAGCUGUGUUUUUCCUAGCACAACCCCAUUCUUGAAUGGAAUGAAGCUCACAUUCCUGGGGCAGAGUGAUAAAAUGAUGCCCUGGAAUUUCUCAAAAUGGGAUGGGGCAAAAAGAUUUUACUUUAGUAGCAUUUGCUGCAGGUUCUGUACUUGUACAUUUUCCCUGUGUUCAGCUACUUAGAUAGUAUGGUGAUGGGCUCCAGGAGGAAUCCUUAGAUUAACACAAGCCACGUCUUGCAAAGCAGAUGUGAUGAUUUUGUACCGCCAGAACCAACAGGAUCUGUCAGUGACUGUGGGAGCAGGACUGAGCCCUCCUGGCAGCGUGUCCUGCCCGGGCACACGGAGCUGGUGCCAGGGGCAACCCGAGGGCUUCCUCGGGCCACUCGUGUCCCUGCUCCUCGUGGGAGCUGGGAACCUGCACUGUGACACUUGUCUCACCUCUCCCGGUCACAUCUCAGCGGCUCCACGCCCGAGUCACUGCACAGCAGCGGGGAGGGCAGAAGUGUGUGGAGGGAGGGGUGAGAGGUGUCCAGUGGCUCUGCAGGGCUGGACAGGACUCCCCGCGGCCGCUGCGCCCGGAGCCGCCCGCACGGGGCCGUGUCCCUCGUCCCGUGGGGCUGAGUGUGCCAGAAGGGCCCCAGUUUAUCUAUGCACACCAUUUUCUCCCCCCAGGCACCCUACUCCUCCCUAACACCUCAGCCCUUCUCCCAGACUUCUGUCACCUCUUGUGGCGGAGCUGGUGCAGGAGUGAGAGUUCUCUGCCACUGCUGGAGGUGACCCCCGAGCAGGGCUGACCCCAGAGGUCAGGGCCUGGCAGGACAGCGGCCACCCGGCCAGCCUGACCCCGUCCUCACCAGUCCUGUUCUGUAACUCCUACACUGUCUCUGUUUGCAACAACAACAAAAGAAAGUUGAACCCGACUUUUUAUUCUGCCAUGUUCAGGCUUUAAUUCAGCAAAACCCUUAAGCAGAAGACUCUGAGUGGGCCCAGGUUUAAGCCCGAGCUUAAGUGCUUUUCUGAACAAGGGCCUCAACAGCCCAACACCCGUCAGAGCAGGUGGUUUGUCAUUCCAAGCUCUCAUAUCAGUGGGACUGUCUAAAGAAUGACCAGAGAAAGAGAGGGAGAUUCAACUGGCUCUCUAAGAAGAGGAGAGAGGAAAUGGAACUGUUUUGUCCAAAACAAGAUAAAAACCAAACAAUAAUGAACCUUGAGAUGGACCCUCCUGAUUCUGCUACCAUUCACUGCUGAAGAGCAAAAAAUUAAAUAAAAACUAUUGACUAGAUUGUUCAUGCUAGCCACAAACUCAGCUGGAUUAAAGUCUGCGUGGAAGGAAUUUUGUAAAGAAAAAAAAAAAUUUAAAAAAAUUUUCCAAUGUAGCAAAAAAAAAACAACUUUAAAAAACAAAAAUUUAAAAAAAAAGACAAUGAGGGAGGAUUCUAGCCUUUUGUAAUAUCCAUAUUGCACACUAGGACUAUAAGCCAUUGCUAGCUCAUUUUGAAUUUUAAAUGUGUAAUUUUAUUUUGUUUUGUUGUUGUUUUUUUUUUUUCUUUCCAUGGGGGAGGGGGGAAAAUAAAUGCUUGAACCACCAAUGCUCUUUUUAAUGUUUUAUAAAUAUGUAUGUGUAUAUAUAUAAAUAUAAAAAUAAUAUGUAUGCACAUAUAUAUGUGUGUGUGUAUAUAUCUAUAUGUAUAUACAUAUAUAUAGAUAUAUAGAUAUAUAUAUAGGUUUUGAGACAAAAAUGCAGAAAGUGAAAAAAACACCCUAAACAGGAUGGUGUGCUCUGAUUUACUUGAAUCUGGUCUCUUCAGCACCUGCGUUAUUAAGAACUGAAUAUUUUUCCACUUGAAUUUAGUGCUAUUAGAAAUUUAAUAUAUGUGUUUUAUUUAUUUGAUUUUUUUUUUUUUUUUGCAUGACUGAUGCAAGGUUUGACAUUUUCACUCAAUAAAA
Molecule: long non-coding RNA, 2983 nt
Filed under: Taeniopygia guttata (zebra finch)
Lineage: Eukaryota; Metazoa; Chordata; Aves; Passeriformes; Estrildidae
Description: lncRNA (ENSTGUG00000024212.1)
Source: RNAcentral